GACGUCGAUAUUCGACGUCAUAAACACGAUUAACUUUGGUGUUUAUGACGUCAACGUGAUAAACACGAUCAACUUUGCUGUUUAUGACGUCGAUAUUCGACUUCAUAAACACGAUCAACAUUGGUGUUUAUCACGUCCAUAUUCGACGUCAUAAACACGAUCAACUUUGGUGUUUAUGACGUCGAUAUUCGACGUCAUAAACACAAGCAACUUAGGUGUUUAUGAUGUAGAUAUUCGACGUCAUAAACACGAUUAAUUUUGGUGUUUAUGACGUCGAUAUUCGACGUC
Paramuricea clavata is the source of this 288-nucleotide non-coding RNA. NCBI's taxonomy places the organism in Eukaryota, Metazoa, Cnidaria, Anthozoa, Malacalcyonacea, Plexauridae. The record is from the annotation of a GenBank genome assembly.